ACCUGGAUCAUGGCUGCCGCGCCGCCGCUACGGGACCGCCUGAGCUUUCUACACCGGGUGAGUGAGGGCGGUCCGCCCGGGCCCCGGUCCCACGGCUCCUCUCGAGCGCCGCAGUCCCCGGACUCGCCCUGGGCCGGAGCCGUUGACCUUGCGUCUCCGUGCCGGGUAGCUGCUCCUGGCCCCUUCGCCCGCGCCGACGCCCCUGAGCUGCCCGCCCGCCCCGCCGUCCCGGGGCCUUCCAAGCCGGACCCGCCGAGCGCAAGGGCGAUGGGCACAGCCAGACCCUGGGGGGAACGAACAGGCCUUGGCCAGCAUUCAGUGGCCUCCGACGGGAGGGAAGGAGCGGCGGACCCGGUGGACGUGGAGCCGCUGUGUCCGUGCUGCUGGCGCCCAGGUGGGCUGGCAGCCCGCCGUCCUCCCUGACGGUGUCAUUUCAGAGGACUCCGGUCCUGGAGAGGCACCUCUGGGUUGCAGAGAACACAGACAUCUCGAAGGGACAGAGAAGGACGCACCAUUAUUUCGGCCCUUCCAACUGAAAGGCUU
Molecule: small RNA, 543 nt
Filed under: Pongo abelii (Sumatran orangutan)
Lineage: Eukaryota; Metazoa; Chordata; Mammalia; Primates; Hominidae
Description: processed transcript
Source: RNAcentral